CAAGAUGUAGCUUAUUCUAAAGCUUAUUAGUUACAUUAAUACGAAAAUUAAUAUAUUUUUCUUGA
RNAcentral lists this transfer RNA (65 nucleotides) under Farynala dextra. RNAcentral's name for it is "tRNA-Val". The record is from RNAcentral. Lineage: Eukaryota; Metazoa; Arthropoda; Insecta; Hemiptera; Cicadellidae.